Molecule: ribosomal RNA, 2312 nt
Filed under: human gut metagenome
Description: bacterial LSU rRNA
Rfam family: Bacterial large subunit ribosomal RNA
Source: RNAcentral
GAUCUCGUACUUUUUGUAGAACGGACCGGCGAGUUACGUUAUGCAGCGAGGUUAAGGACUUAAGGUCUGGAGCCGAAGCGAAAGCGAGUCUGAAUAGGGCGGAUAGUUGCAUGACGUAGACCCGAAACCGGGUGACCUAUCCAUGGGCAGGUUGAAGUGGAAGUAAAAUUUCAUGGAGGACCGAACCAGACGUCUGUUGAAAAAGGCGGGGAUGACCUGUGGAUAGCGGAGAAAUUCCAAUCGAACCCGGAGAUAGCUGGUUCUCCUCGAAAUAGCUUUAGGGCUAGCCUCGCAUUAGUUUACCGGAGGUAGAGCACUGAAUGGUCUAGGGGGCCUCACCGCCUACCGAAACCUAUCAAACUGCGAAUGCCGGAUAAAUGAUGUGCGGGAGUCAGGCCGCGAGAGAUAAGUUCCGCGGUCAAAAGGGGAACACCCCAGAUCGUCUGCUAAGGUCCCCAAGUACGCGUUAAGUGGGAAAGGAUGUUGGAUUGCACAGACAACCAGGAUGUUGGCUUAGAAGCAGCCACACAUUCAAAGAGUGCGUAAUAGCUCACUGGUCGAGUGAUCCAGCGCCGAAAAUGUAACGGGGCUAAAACGCGACACCGAAGCAGCGGGAUGCGUAAGCAUCGGUAGAGGAGCAUUGUGUGAGGGUCGAAGCCAGAGCGGGAGCACUGGUGGACUUCACAGAAGAGAGAAUGCCGGUAUGAGUAGCGAGACCCAUGCGAGAAACAUGGGCGUCGAAGGCCCAAGGUUUCCUGGGGAAGGUUCAUCCACCCAGGGUAAGUCGGGACCUAAGCCGAGGACUGAGGUCGUAGGCGAUGGACAGCAGGUAGAGAUUCCUGCACCACUUACACUUGUUUGACGAAGCAGUGACACAGAAGGAUAGGACGAGCGCGGUGAUGGUCAACCGCGUAGGCGGCACGAGGCCGGGAAGCAGUGAAGUACACUUCCCGCGAAGGCUGAGUGUUGACAGGACCGAAAAGAAGUAGGGAAGCGUCCGAGUUCACGCUGGCGAGAAAAGCUGCUAAGGAGAGUGUGAGUGCCCGUACCGGAAACCGACGCAGGUGGGCGAGGAGAGAAUCCUGAGACGGACGGGAGAACUCUUGUUAAGGAACUCGGCAAAAUGACCCCGUAACUUCGGGAGAAGGGGUGCCUCGAAAGAGGCCGCAGAGAAUAGUCACAAGCGACUGUUUAGCAAAAACACAGGUAUCUGCGAAAGCGAGAGCUGACGUAUAGGUGCUGACACCUGCCCGGUGCUGGAAGGUUAAGGGAACAUGUUAGAGCAAUCGAAGCAUCGAACCGAAGCCCCAGUAAACGGCGGCCGUAACUAUAACGGUCCUAAGGUAGCGAAAUUCCUUGUCGGGUAAGUUCCGACCCGCACGAAUGGUGUAACGACUUGUGAGCUGUCUCAACAGGGGGCCCGGUGAAAUUGAAGUAUGGGUGAAGAUGCCCAUUACCCGCGACUGGACGGAGAGACCCCGUAGAGCUUUACUGCAGCCUGAUAUUGAGUUUCGGUAACUGAUGCACAGGAUAGGUGGGAGUCUGAGAGACAUGGGUUUCGGCUCAUGUGGAGACGAUGUUGGGAUACCACUCUUCGGUUACUGAAAUUCUAACAUAGCUCUGUGAAACCAGAGGAUGGACAGUGUCAGGUGGACAGUUUGACUGGGGCGGUCGCCUCCGAAAGAGUAACGGAGGCGCCCAAAGGUACCCUCAGAAUGGAUGGAAACCAUUCGAAGAGCGCAAAGGCAGAAGGGUGCCUGACUGCGAGAGUGACAACUCGAGCAGAGACGAAAGUCGGGCUUAGUGAUCCGGCGGUAUUGAGUGGAAAAGCCGUCGCUUAACGGAUAAAAGCUACCUCGGGGAUAACAGGCUGAUCUCCCCCAAGAGUCCACAUCGACGGGGAGGUUUGGCACCUCGAUGUCGGCUCGUCGCAUCCUGGGGCUGAAGCAGGUCCCAAGGGUUUGGCUGUUCGCCAAUUAAAGCGGCACGCGAGCUGGGUUCAGAACGUCGUGAGACAGUUCGGUCCCUAUCCAUCGUGGGCGCAGGAGAUUUGAGAAGAGCUGUCCUCAGUACGAGAGGACCGGGAUGGACGCACCAAGGGUGUAUCAGUUGUCACGCCAGUGGCACAGCUGGGUAGCCAAGUGCGGAUCGGAUAAACGCUGAAGGCAUCUAAGCGUGAAGCCGACUUCAAGAUAAGAUCUCCCAUCCGCAAGGAGUAAGGCCCCAUGUAGACCACAUGGUUGAUAGGUCGCAGGUGGAAGUGCAGUAAUGUACGCAGCUGAGCGAUACUAAUAGGCCGAGGGCUUGAUCAA